RNAcentral lists this long non-coding RNA (238 nucleotides) under Mus spicilegus (steppe mouse). RNAcentral describes it as "lncRNA (ENSMSIG00000013755.1)". The record is from RNAcentral. Lineage: Eukaryota; Metazoa; Chordata; Mammalia; Rodentia; Muridae.
GGGUUUGUAAUUCAGGGUAUGAGAUGGAAGAUGCAGAAAUCUCAACUCUUUCACCAUAGUUUCUAGAAGGUGAAAGAAUGACUUAUGACCUUCCAGUAUUGUGAUAGCUGACUAAUAGUGGUGAAGCUUCCAGAUGUGUAUUAUUUUUGAUAAGAUGAACAUUUAAGAUAGAGUGACCAUACAUAUCCUAAGAGAUAUGUCUGGAUACUGCUUAGUCAUAUUUAGAGGAAGAAAGAAG